This 253-nucleotide ribosomal RNA is filed under the name uncultured bacterium. Its description in RNAcentral is "partial 16S ribosomal RNA". It matches the Rfam family "Bacterial small subunit ribosomal RNA", at positions 524 to 776 of the family's 1533-position model. The record is from RNAcentral.
UACAGAGGUCUCAAGCGUUGUUCGGAUUCAUUGGGCGUAAAGGGUGCGUAGGCGGUCGGGUAAGUCGGAUGUGAAAUCUCAGGGCUCAACCCUGAAACUGCAUUCGAUACUGCUUGGCUAGGGUACUGGAGAGGAGACUGGAAUUUACGGUGUAGCAGUGAAAUGCGUAGAUAUCGUAAGGAAGACCAGUGGCGAAGGCGAGUCUCUGGACAGUUACCGACGCUGAGGCACGAAGGUCAGGGGAGCAAACGGG